This 616-nucleotide ribosomal RNA is filed under the name uncultured Tulasnellaceae. RNAcentral describes it as "eukaryotic LSU rRNA". The stretch from base 510 to 616 matches the Rfam family "Eukaryotic large subunit ribosomal RNA", at positions 1 to 108 of the family's 3401-position model. The record is from RNAcentral. Lineage: Eukaryota; Fungi; Basidiomycota; Agaricomycetes; Cantharellales; Tulasnellaceae.
UUCUCCGCCGGUCGAGGACAACCGACCCCUCGCGUCCAGAGGCUAAACGACGUCCCGGUGUUACCUCCCUGGAGGCACACGUUAAAGAUCGUUCCGCAUUGUGAGUCUUGACACCAGCUGUACAAUUUUUUACAACCGGUGGCGUUGGAUCCCUUGGCACGUCAUUCGAUGAAGACCGUUGCAAAUUGCGAUAAAGUGAUGUGAUGCGCAAGUCCACCACUUAUACGUGAAUCAUCGAGUUGUUGAACGCACUGCACCGCGCCCUAACCCGGCUGCGGUAUGCCCCUUUGAGCGUCAUUGUUACCCUUCGGGAGUCUUUCCUUGGGAAGACCCGAGUUCGGAGUCCUCGGUCCUCGGAUCCGUGUUCUCUCAGAUCCAUCGCGCCGAUCGUCCGGUAGGUCCUCUAAUGCCUGAGCGUGGAGAGCCUCUGGAGUUUUGAGCGGCGUUUGACUGCGUGGCGAGCGCUGGUCACCAAGUCCGCACGGCCUAGCCGUCGGUGCUACAACUCAUGACCUCAUCGGGGUAGGACAACCCGCUAGACUUAAGCAUAUUAAUCAGCGGAGGAAAAGAAACUAACCAGGAUCCCCUCAGUAACUGCGAGUGAAGUGGGGUCAGC